CCUACGGGUGGCAGCAGUGGGGAAUAUUGCGCAAUGGGCGAAAGCCUGACGCAGCGACGCCGCGUGAGGGAUGAAGGUCUUCGGAUCGUAAACCUCUGUCAGCAGGGAAGAACGGUCACUGUGCUAAUCAGCAGUGAAUUGACGGUACCUGCAACGGCAGCACCGGCUAACUCCGUGCCAGCAGCCGCGGUAAUACGGAGGGUGCGAGCGUUAAUCGGAAUUACUGGGCGUAAAGCGCUCGUAGGCGGUAUGUCAAGUCAAGGGUGAAAUCCCCGCGCUCAACGUGGGAACUUCCUUUGAAAAUGGCAAACUGGAGUGUGUGAGAGGAUAGUGGAAUUCCAGGUGUAGGAGUGAAAUCCGUAGAUAUCUGGAGGAACAUCAGUGGCGAAGGCGACUAGCUGGAACAUAACUGACGCUGAGGAGCGAAAGCGUGGGUAGCAAACAGGAUUAGAUACCCUUGUAGUC
Molecule: ribosomal RNA, 465 nt
Filed under: uncultured bacterium
Lineage: Bacteria
Description: partial 16S ribosomal RNA
Rfam family: Bacterial small subunit ribosomal RNA
Source: RNAcentral